AAAGUUGCUGCACCACCACUAGGAAAACCGUUAUUGCUGCCAGCAGUGCCACCAUCUUUGAUCUCUCUGCCUUGUGUAACUAAUCGAUUCUCUUCUUCCAUUACAUUCACAAAAAAUGCCCAAACUUUCUCUCUAGAACUCUAAAUUUCAACAAAGUCUAUCAUAAGCUUUCUCCUCUCCUAAAUUUUUUAAGAAUUAAAAAAAUCCCG
Molecule: long non-coding RNA, 209 nt
Filed under: Vitis vinifera (wine grape)
Lineage: Eukaryota; Viridiplantae; Streptophyta; Magnoliopsida; Vitales; Vitaceae
Description: long non-coding RNA (VVIN_LNC002858)
Source: RNAcentral